AUGAGGAUCUUGCUCCUGGCGUGCCGCCAUUGCUGCAGGCUCCCAUUUUUUUCUCGGGCUGCCGGAGCUGCCUUCACUGCCAAUUGCGGCGGGGGGCCAUGGAGGAGGCAUCGCGUUCUAGCUGCGCAGUGUCUUUCCAUGAGCACAACUGCUGGCUCGAUUCUGCCAUGGGAAGCGCCAUCCCGUGAAACCCUACUGAGGACGAUUGAUGUUGCUCUCAAGGAUGGCAAUGUCGACCAGGCCCUGCGAGCAUUUGGCAAUUAUAAAAGUCUGCACGGCCUUCCCGAGCCAAGGGUAUUGAAUGGUGUGAUUGUGUCGCUGUCGUACACAUCUAGUCGAAGGUGGCUUCAGAGAGCGUAUGACUUGGUUCUGUCAGUUUAUCAGUGUAACAGCAAUCUUCUCAACUCUAGCUCGCUGAUGAGGCUAGCUCUGGCACUUGCAAGAGAUCAGACACCUGUCCCUGCCUCUGCAGUCCUUAGGAUCAUACUGGAGAGCGGCAAGCUUCCUGAUGCUGAUAUGUUGAGCAUGGUGUUUUUGCACAUGUUGAAGUCACAAGUAGGGUCCUAUCUUGCAGCUGAUGUUCUGGCUGAGACCUGCGAGUGUUUCUUGGAUCAAAUUUCAUAUAGGCGACAGCUGAAAAAAUUGGACCCAAUAAAGAACAAUGUCACCUUGUUCAAUAUGAUUUUGGAGUCUUGUGUUAACUUCAAAUGCAUCAUCAGAGCCCAGAAAAUAAUGGAGCUGAUGUCAUUGGUCGGGGUUGUGGCUGAUGUGAAUACAAUGGCGGUCGCUAGCCGGGUCUGUCAAAUGGUUGGGCAGCGAGAUGAAUUGAUGACCAUGAAAGGAAGCAUCAAUUCUUUCUCCUCUUUGCCAUUCUCUCAGCAAUAUCUACAUUUUUACGACAGUUUAUUGAGCUUGCAAUUCAGUGGUAAUGACAUGGAUGCUGCUGCAGAUCUUAUAAUCGAUCUCUAUCGGCAACAAAAGUCAUGCACUUUCUCCGACAAUGAUGUGCAGAAACAAGGUGUGAUACAAAUUGGCUCUGGUAACCUAAAAAGUGGAUACAGAAUAAUGUUUGACCCCACAAAAUUGGACAAAGGUUUUGUGUUAGAUACAAAAUACCAGUCUGGACUUGUUGUUCCUAUCAGUGGAAAUCUUGUUCCUAGUGAAAAGGCUGUUUCUAAACUUAUCAUAGGCUGUGUGAAAGCAAAGAAACUGGGUGCAUUGUCUAGCUUCUGUAUUACAUUGCAUAAGGAAGAACUAAAGGGAAUUUCUGCUUCAGAUGUGAUUAAUGCAUGCAUUCAGAUGGGAUGGUUGCAUGCCGCUCAUGAUAUCCUGGAUUCUUUAGAGUCAGCUGAGAUUCCUGUCGGGGUUGGUACUUACAUGUCUCUUCUCAGAGAAUACGAGAAUGAGCAUAAACCCGAAGAAUUCAAUUCACUUCUCCAACAGAUACAGAAAAUAGCAUCUACCAUGGAGGAAUUUCAUACUAGUCCAUCAUUUACCAUAAAGGACAUUGCCAAAAUAGUCAAGGAUGAGAUCCCCCAAACUAAAUCAUCUUUGCUUUCCAGUUUGGUUGAAGAAACUGAACACUAUAACCCUGGAGAUCACUUAACAUUUGAGUUCAAUAAUUCAAUUCUUUUCUUCUGCAAGGCAAACAUGAUGGAAGAUGCUCUGAGCACAUAUAAACGCAUGAGAGAGCAAAAUAUUAGACCCAAUCUGCAUACCUUUUGCCAUAUACUGUGUGGAUAUUCGUCAUUAAGUAUGUAUAGGGAGAUUACCAUACUGUGGGGAGAAAUAAAACGAAGACUCGAGUACAGAGAAAUAUCUGUGGAUAGGGAUUUGCUUGACUGCUUAGUUUUGGAUUUCCUCAAAGGUGGCUAUUUUUCAAGGGUGAUGGAGGUUAUAAGUUACAUGUCAACCCAUAAUAUUUACUGCGACAAGUGGAAAUAUAGGCAGGUCUUUCUGAAGCUGCACAAGAAUCUGUAUAGGAACUUGAAUUCAUUGCAUGACAAAACAGAAGCUCAGAGCAAAAGGAUUGAUGAUGUCCGAGCUUUCAGGACAUGGGCAGGCAUCAAAUAG
Molecule: ribosomal RNA, 2073 nt
Filed under: Triticum aestivum (bread wheat)
Lineage: Eukaryota; Viridiplantae; Streptophyta; Magnoliopsida; Poales; Poaceae
Description: partial small subunit ribosomal RNA
Source: RNAcentral